UUACUUUUAGUGAGUAGUCAUUUUGUAGUAGUGUCGUGAACGGGUGUGUUUUAAAAUAUAAACUUAGCGCUGCGUAUAACACUGAUGGUAAAAAAACAACACCUAUAAAAAAUGAGAAAAAGUUAAAUAUUAUAAAGUUUAGUGCAAAAAUUCUAUGUAAAAUAUAUAGAAAAUUGAAAAUUUCGAGAAAAACAAACAAAAAUAAUCAAAAUAGUACUACAACGUAAAGAAAAACAACACCCCCUCUUGGUAGUAUUUUCUCUCACUUAAACACAAUAUAAAAUUCUCAAAUCACUUUUUCGCUCUCUCGAAUUGAAAACCAGAAAAGAGAGUAGUAAAAAUAAUAAUAAAAUAAAUAUAUAAAGGAAAUUUGUCUUCAAUUGUCAUCAGGUGCAUUUCCAGUGAACGAGUAAUUAAUUUGUUGUUUUCAAAUGGUAAUAAAUCUUUUUGUUUACUU
RNAcentral lists this long non-coding RNA (457 nucleotides) under Lucilia cuprina (Australian sheep blowfly). RNAcentral's name for it is "uncharacterized LOC111685973, transcript variant X2". The record is from RNAcentral. Lineage: Eukaryota; Metazoa; Arthropoda; Insecta; Diptera; Calliphoridae.